UAACAUUGUUAAAUGAACUAAUCUAAAAUUGUCUUGAUAGGUCUAAUGGACAAGUUCUUUACUCAUUCAACUAACUGAGGGCCUCAAUUCAAGUGCAAAAUUAUGUAUCAUUCACUUCCAUUUAUAGUAGAAUUAGUGCUCAGAGACUAAAUUACAUUAAUUUUGAAGGUCACCAGCCCUCUGCAGCUGAAGCUCUGUUCCUGCAUCCACUACAAAAGUCAGGGAAGCACAGGGAGAUCUACCCUCUUAAAGGAAAAAAUGCUGACACGUCCUUGAUCUACAUGACAAAAUUUCAAUGGUGCCUGGCCACAUUGUCUCUCAAGGGCUUCAAAUUUUGCCUUGGAUGGUGGACUCCCCCUACAACAUAUGGCAAGGUGUAAAACAUGGAAAAGAAUUGGAAUUAAAACGGAAAUAAGCUAACUAGACUUCAUUUGCAAUGGUUGUGCACUUCUGAGGGGUAAUCACCGCCAAACCCACCCAUCCAUUCCCACACCCAAUGCUAGAUUUUAGCUUUUCAGAAGGAUGAUAGGCUUAGUAUAUUUUCCAGAUCAAAGGCUCAAAAAUGCACAGCACUGCAAUUGAGAAAACAAACUAAUACAUGCUCGCAUAGUUGUUUGAACUACAUAAUGCACAGCCCAGCAAUUAAGGAUACCCAUAAAGGCAAACCCAGCCUAAAUGGCUUCGAUAUAGGAUAUGUUUGGAUUGAUAUUUAACUGCAAAGAUAAUUGUUUAAAGGUUGAAAUGUUAAAACUUGGUUGCAGGAGAUCUGAAAAGCAAGCAAAAAAGUUGUAAAAUUUUUCUCUUUUUUUUUCCUAUUUUUAAAUUCUAUGGCUUCCAUUAAUAGGAAAUUUGAGGAAAAUGUUACGACAGUGGGAUUUUGGACUCUAAAAAGCGCCAGAAAAAAAGGAGCAUAUUUGAUUGAUGUGAAGACAUAGUUGAAGUAGAGUAGAAAUAUAUUGCAAAGAAUUAAAGAACAUUAAAAAGUUCGUAAAAAAGGAAAAAAGAGAGUACCAUGAAAAAUACCUUCCAUAAACAAAUCACUCAUGAUGGACUUGUAUUACUAAUCAAAAGGCCAAAGAAACAACUAAAUCGAACAACUAUUUACAAGAUGUACAAUUGAAUAUUCCUGGAAAUGAUGUAGUACCCAGAGAAGACAAACCAAAUGUAAUGCCAGAGAAAGAAACACAACAUUUAAUCACUACUUAAAAAAGGCUGGCAUUCAACUUAUUAGGAUUAAUCCAUAAAAUUACCUAAUCAAGCAGAGCAGAAAAGCUGGAUCACCAGGUGAAGUCUUUCUAAACUUGCUGUUGGGAAGAUAAAUGUCAAAAUUAGGUCUCAGUUCAUCAACCUGCAAAUUACUUAGACUUUCUACAACUACAGCUGAGUCUUUCAACUCAGUGUCUAUUAUCACCCCAUUAUUUUCUGAGGUGCCUUGAAAAGAAUCAAAGUUACAGUUGCUCUUAAUACCCUUCAUAGACCAAGGAACACCGUGACGCUGAACAAUGUAACCAAGAGACUUGAGGUGCCUAUAGACCUCAAAAAGCUCCCAGCAGCACCCAUUCUUUUCAUCUACAGUUUUCCCAUAUAUAUCUUUUAGAGAAAAAUGUAUAUCUUUAUCAUCCAAGAGAAGCAAUGCCCCCAAUUCAGCCAAAA
RNAcentral lists this unclassified non-coding RNA (1653 nucleotides) under Hevea brasiliensis (rubber tree). The record is from RNAcentral. Lineage: Eukaryota; Viridiplantae; Streptophyta; Magnoliopsida; Malpighiales; Euphorbiaceae.